GCCUUCGUGGUGUAGUGGUCAGCACAUUCAACGCAUAAUCGAGAGGUCCGUAGUUCGAUUCCCGGCCAAGGCG
Non-coding RNA from Stegodyphus mimosarum, 73 nucleotides. Lineage: Eukaryota; Metazoa; Arthropoda; Arachnida; Araneae; Eresidae. The record is from Rfam.